GUGGGGAAUUUUGGACAAUGGGCGCAAGCCUGAUCCAGCCAUGCCGCGUGCAGGAUGAAGGCCUUCGGGUUGUAAACUGCUUUUGUACGGAACGAAAAGACUCUGGUUAAUACCUGGGGUCCAUGACGGUACCGUAAGAAUAAGCACCGGCUAACUACGUGCCAGCAGCCGCGGUAAUACGUAGGGUGCGAGCGUUAAUCGGAAUUACUGGGCGUAAAGCGUGCGCAGGCGGUUAUGUAAGACAGAUGUGAAAUCCCCGGGCUCAACCUGGGAACUGCAUUUGUGACUGCAUAGCUAGAGUACGGCAGAGGGGGAUGGAAUUCCGCGUGUAGUAGUGAAAUGCGUAGAUAUGCGGAGGAACACCGAUGGCGAAGGCAAUCCCCUGGGCCUGUACUGACGCUCAUGCACGAAAGCGUGGGGAGCAAACAGGAUUAGAUACCCUGGUAGUCC
Molecule: ribosomal RNA, 450 nt
Filed under: uncultured bacterium
Lineage: Bacteria
Description: partial 16S ribosomal RNA
Rfam family: Bacterial small subunit ribosomal RNA
Source: RNAcentral